GAAAUGCGAUAAGUAAUGUGAAUUGCAGAAUUCAGUGAAUCAUCGAAUCUUUGAACGCACAUUGCGCCCGCCAGUACUCUGGCGGGCAUGCCUGUUCGAGCGUCAUUUCAACCAUCAAGCCCCUGGCUUGUGUUGGGGACCUGCGGCUGCCCGCAGGCCCUGAAAAACAGUGGCGGGCUCGCUGUCACACCGAGCGUAGUAGCAUACAUUCUCGCUCAGGGCGUGCUGCGGGUUCCGGCCGUUAAACGACCUUCAUAACCCAAGGUUGACCUCGGAUCAGGUAGGAAGACCCGCUGAACUUAAGC
This 305-nucleotide unclassified non-coding RNA is filed under the name plant metagenome. RNAcentral describes it as "partial contains 5.8S ribosomal RNA, internal transcribed spacer 2, and large subunit ribosomal RNA". The stretch from base 1 to 105 matches the Rfam family "5.8S ribosomal RNA", at positions 50 to 154 of the family's 154-position model. The record is from RNAcentral.